Molecule: non-coding RNA, 3152 nt
Organism: Oncorhynchus mykiss (rainbow trout)
Lineage: Eukaryota; Metazoa; Chordata; Actinopteri; Salmoniformes; Salmonidae
Source: RefSeq, a predicted model, not a curated record
UCAAAUGUUUCGCUUACCUGCUAAGACCUUUAGUGUUGACGUAGAUAUUGUGCGACACUCAACCAGGUUCUAGAAAAAAGGAACUCCCGCUUGCAGCGAAACGAAAUAUUCCUUCGAGGACUCUCGAGGACUCUCCCAAGCCAGCAACGCUUCCACCGGCUCUUGUGUUCCCUCAUAAAGCACAUGAGGGAACACAAGCAUACAUAGAUUACAAACAAUAGACAAUCGAGCUAGGGGGUACAAUAUCACAUUACAAUUACACAAGGACCUUAAAGGACAUGCAUAUACUUACAAUUCUAACAGCUUUUUUGUUAGUAGAGCAUUUAACUGUCUUAAAAUACAGUUCAAUUUCUUUUUGUAGGGUACUAAAAUGUGGUUUUCUGUUUGUGUAUAUGAAUAGUAGUAGCCAUACUAGCCUCUAAGUCGCUCGUUUUAUCAUUACCUCAUUAUAUUAAUAUAAUAAUUUUUGUAUAGCUUUUUAAAAAAAGUAUUAUUGUUGAAAACUGUGUUUAUCCGUUCAGUUAGUGACUUUUGUAAUUCGAUUAUUGUGUUCUGUCUUUUUUUGUCUCGUUUAGCUAGCUAUUAACGCGCUAACCAUUAAGGUGGCUAGUAAUUAGUCAACACCCCUGCUACCAUGGCAUUGUUUUUACACAAGGUGCUUGAAGAGCUGCCAAAGGUAACAGUGACGGGUGUACAUCGUUUGGCCAAGCAAAGCACCGACCUCCAAGUUGGAAAAAGGUUUAAAACUUUGUCUCCAGUUACCUUUUCUACUACGAAGGUUGUACUGAAGCGCUCUGAGCCAGAAACAAUGACACAUCACUGUUUAUGUGUUGCUGGCACUGCAUUAUGCAAACACACAGUUGCAUUACUAUUCCAGUCUGCACACUAUUCCCAGAUGGGAACAUCAGUCAUCCCACCUGUGCACAGAGGCCAGGCAGCAGUGGCAUAAGCCCAGGACUAUGGGUCUGAAACCUGGGCCUAUAGGCAAAAUGACCAUCACCAAGCCCACCAAAAAGUGCAUGGCAGAAAGAGGGAUUAGAAGUACACUCUACAGUGCCCUUCUUGGACCGCUCCCUGACUUCUCAGUUCUUCAGAUAGAAGAGGCAUAAAAUAACUUUGACCCUCAAUCCAAGCCAUUGAUCUGCAGCAUGGGGAUGUCUGCUGAAAAGCUUUUAGCCAAGGAAAGGUGCAAGUGGGGAGCCUCCUGUCUUACCAGCAGCCACCAAUCACAAAGCAACACAUAGUUCACCAUAAGGAGACACCACCAUUCCCUUCACUGCCCCUGGAUUGCUACAGACUGGAGAACAACUUUCAAGGCUGCACAUUUGUGUUCAGUGAAGGAGACCAGCUUCACAUAGUCUCUUCAGGUGAGCUUCGCAACAGCCCAUAAAAUAGAGGAAGCUACUAGAGAACAGAGUGCUUUCUCCGACUGGCAGGUGCUACAGAAACCAAGACUGACCUCGUCACGGUUCUGAGAGGCUUGCCAUGUGAGAGUGCCUGCGGAUGUCUGCCAUCUAGCCGAAAGGAUCCUCAAAGGCACAGCACCAACAGCUGACAUGAAGAGGGGACUGGAGUUGGAGAUGGAAUCAGCCAGUGACUACUGCAAGAUGCAGAAUGUCAAAUGCUCACCCUGUGGCCUCAUACAUCCUGACAUCCCUUGGUUUGCUUCUUCUCCUGAUGGCCUGGUCUACAACCCUCUCGAGCAUCCACCUUUUGGCCUAGUUGAGAUUAAGAACCCAAACGUUAUUAUCAAUACAUGGACUACAGGGUGUUAGACAAUGUGGAUGGUGACAGCAAAAAAAAGGAAAGAUGCAUUGCAGUUGUAGCUCAUUGCACCUUGGCCCAUGCCUUCACAAGAGGCCCACACUGGUAGUUUGUGAGAAGGCAAGCCACAGCCCAGAUGCAGUUGAUGCUUCCCAUCAGUGACUUGGGGAUCUCUGACUGAAACAGCUUGUUCAGUUUAAUUCUGCCAAUUAAUCUCUCAAUGUGGACUCUAUAAGAUGAGCAAUCUCUUGUGUUUUGAUGGACCUGUGCUGCUGGCAUUUGGCUCCGUUUAGACAGAAAGGGUGGACGGUAGACCUUGUCUGGCACACAGUCAUCAAUCAUGAACCCCUUGUCUGCUAUCACUGCCGUGUCUUCAGUGAGCAAGUCAAACAGCCUGAUUUAUUUAUUUUUUAUUUUUUAAUAUCUCUGUUGCUGAUGGAGCCCGCAUACAAUUCUGACUACAGUAACUGAUCCAUGUGGUGCCAUGGGGCUUUCAAGGUGCAGUGGGACUUGUAAUGACUGUGUAGAGGGAGACUGGCUGGCUGCUGGCAUUUCAACUCGGUACAGUCAAUAAUGACUUGGGUGCCUACCUACUGAGCUCCUUCGGCAACACAUCAUGGACAAACUGAAUUGGUCCACACAGACAGCGUUGUGAAGAAGGCGCAGCAGCACCUCUUCAACCUCAGGAGGCUUUAGAAAUUUGGCUUGUCACCAAAAGCACUCACACUUCUACAGAUGCACAAUCGAGAGCAUCCUGUCGGGCUGUAUCACCGCCUGGUACGGCAACUGCUCCACCCACAACCGUAAGGCUCUCCAGAGGGUAGUGAGGUCUGCACAACGCAUCACCGGGGGCAAACUACUUGCCCUCCAGGACACUGUUAGAUUUGCGUCAAUUCGAAUCUGGUAUCAGGAUAAAUAUGACAAUGAGUGAUUGUAUACUAUGUAUUUUUUAUUAGCUAAGCAAUAAGUGGUAAAUUCAAUUUUCGUAUAUACGGACUCUCUGUCCCACCUCGCAGGGCAAACAGAGAACUGACUUGUUCCUGACAAAGAUAUUAUAAUAUACCCUGAUGACUAGUAGUUCCUGCUUCCGAGCCGCCCUGUCAGAGUAGAGACUGGGCGUGGUUUAAACUCACCCAGCCUAUCGUUGAUUGUUGUCGUACGAGCUGGUACCAGCCCCCGGGCGCUCCAGUUGAUAGAUGUAACUUGCUGUGUCGAGUAUCUAUGCGCUCAUUCCCUAGAUACCGUUAUCACAUAUCUGGUUUCUGUUAUUGUUAAGUUUGAGUUCUAACAAAAACAGUCUGUGGUUUGCUACACUACGUUCUGUAUGUGUCCGUUUAUGUUAUUCUGUAUUUUUCCAUCAUGAGAAAGGCCCAUGGCCCUGAAACUGU